UACGUAGGUGGCAAGCGUUGUCCGGAUUUACUGGGCGUAAAGGGCGUGCAGGCGGUUUGUUUAGUCUAGGGUGAAAGCUCCCGGCUUAACUGGGAGAGGUCCUUGGAUACUGGCAAACUUGAGGGAUGCAGAGGAAAGUGGAAUUCCCGGUGUAGUGGUGAUAUGCGUAGAUAUCGGGAGGAACACCAGUGGCGAAGGCGGCUUUCUGGGCAUUUCCUGACGCUGAGACGCGAAAGCGUGGGGAGCGAACCGG
RNAcentral lists this ribosomal RNA (253 nucleotides) under uncultured bacterium. Its description in RNAcentral is "partial 16S ribosomal RNA". It matches the Rfam family "Bacterial small subunit ribosomal RNA", at positions 524 to 776 of the family's 1533-position model. The record is from RNAcentral.